AUUGAACGCUGGCGGCAUGCUUUACACAUGCAAGUCGGACGGCAGCGGGGUAGUGCUUGCACUACUGCCGGCGAGUGGCGAACGGGUGAGUAAUAUAUUGGAACGUACCGAGUAAUGGGGGAUAACCAAUCGAAAGAUUGGCUAAUACCGCAUACGCUCUGAGGAGGAAAGCAGGGGACCUUCGGGCCUUGCGUUAUUCGAGCGGCCAAUAUCUGAUUAGCUAGUUGGUGGGGUAAGGGCCUACCAAGGCGACGAUCAGUAGCGGGUCUGAGAGGAUGAUCCGCCACACUGGAACUGAGACACGGCCCAGACUCCUACGGGAGGCAGCAGUGGGGAAUUUUGGACAAUGGGCGCAAGCCUGAUCCAGCCAUGCCGCGUGUCUGAAGAAGGCCUUCGGGUUGUAAAGGACUUUUGUUAGGGAAGAAAAAGGAGCGGUUAAUACCCGUUUCUGCUGACGGUACCUAAAGAAUAAGCACCGGCUAACUACGUG
RNAcentral lists this ribosomal RNA (490 nucleotides) under uncultured bacterium. Its description in RNAcentral is "partial 16S ribosomal RNA". It matches the Rfam family "Bacterial small subunit ribosomal RNA", at positions 30 to 507 of the family's 1533-position model. The record is from RNAcentral.